AACGAACGCUGGCGGCAGGCUUAACACAUGCAAGUCGAGCGCCCCGCCAGGGGAGCGGCAGACGGGUGAGUAACGCGUGGGAACGUACCUUUUGGUUCGGAACAACUCCGGGAAACUGGAGCUAAUACCGGAUAAGCCCUAACGGGGAAAGAUUUAUCGCCGAAAGAUCGGCUCGCGUCUGAUUAGCUAGUUGGUGAGGUAACGGCUCACCAAGGCGACGAUCAGUAGCUGGUCUGAGAGGAUGAUCAGCCACACUGGGACUGGGACACAGCCCAGACUCCUACGGGAGGGAGCAGUGGGGAAUAUUGGAAAAUGGGCGGAAGGCUGAACCAGCCAUGCCGCGUGAGUGAUGAAGGCCUUAAGGUUGUAAAGCUCUUUUGUCCGGGAAGAUAAUGACGGUACCGGAAGAAUAAGCCCCGGCUAACUUCGUG
RNAcentral lists this ribosomal RNA (431 nucleotides) under uncultured bacterium. Its description in RNAcentral is "partial 16S ribosomal RNA". It matches the Rfam family "Bacterial small subunit ribosomal RNA", at positions 29 to 507 of the family's 1533-position model. The record is from RNAcentral.